GGCCGGUUAGCUCAGUUAGUUGAGCGUGGCGCUAACAACACCAAGGUCGCGAGUUUGAUUCCCGUUCGGUCC
This 72-nucleotide transfer RNA is filed under the name Apaloderma vittatum (bar-tailed trogon). It matches the Rfam family "tRNA". From Rfam's summary of the family: Transfer RNA (tRNA) molecules are approximately 80 nucleotides in length. Their secondary structure includes four short double-helical elements and three loops (D, anti-codon, and T loops). The record is from Rfam by way of RNAcentral. Lineage: Eukaryota; Metazoa; Chordata; Aves; Trogoniformes; Trogonidae.